AUCAGCUUGUUCCAAUCCCCUGCCACGGGCAGGGAACCUUUCACUAUCACAGUAUAUAGAGAAGCAGUCAGAAGGGGAUAUUGGCAAAGAUCUCCUGGAGAGCACCUGUGUGGAAAGGCUUAGAGAAAAACUGUUGCCUUCCUGUUUGGAGGAGAGACCACUGCUGUUACCAGCUCCAACCCCACUCCAUGGGCAGAGAUGACCAGGUUGCUGAGGACCUCAUUUGACCCAAUCCUUCAUUGUUGUGGAGCUGACAAAAUCAAGGGUGGGAUGUGGAUAAAUGGAAUUUCUGGAUCUAUGGCCUCCCCUCUCUGACAGAGGGAGCAGCCUCAGUCUGUGAGCUCAGGACAGGCACCACAGCACUGCUGGA
Passer domesticus (house sparrow) is the source of this 370-nucleotide long non-coding RNA. RefSeq lists it as uncharacterized. The record is from RefSeq and is a predicted model, not a curated record. Lineage: Eukaryota; Metazoa; Chordata; Aves; Passeriformes; Passeridae. The transcript is spliced from 3 exons.